UUGCGCUCUCCACAGAAACCCCCCUCCGACUUACCGCAGACUAAUACCACACUCGAAUAGCCGAUAUAUAUUUUUUUUCAAUUUUUCUUCGGUUAGAUACGAGCGAAUAUUUCCUCCUACUCUUGAGUUUUGCCUCAUAAAAUGUACAUCGCCCCGUGGGCAUGCGGGGAGACAGUACGUUAUUAAAGGCCUCUUAGCGAAUAGUGUAUUAUUAUAUUUUUUUUUUUCGUCGGGAUUUUUUUCGUCUUGCGUUUCUCGUUGAGACUUAGCUAUGAUGCUAUUUUAAGCCUGCACAACAACAGCUAUAUACGUCUCUCGAAUGUGAGUCAAACUCCGGUAGUUCCUCCGCCUGCUUGUUUGUUCUUCAACAGAUUUUUCUAUUUCCUCCAUUUCACGACAUUUUUUCCGAUGCCGAGCAACGAACGCGAACAAUAACCAAGACGCACGGGGAGCCGCAUUGAAAAACUCGCGUCAACUCCCAGCUUGGAAUCGUCAGAGACGCGUUUCCAUUGACUUUUCCGAGAAAACCUAUUUCAUACGAGGAAAGAACGACGGACGAGGGAGAGAGCGAGAGACCGGAAGGGUCGAAGAAACACAGAGUGCAUAGACGUUAUGAUGGAACGUCACAGGAAUAAAGUGUCGAAGGAAUAGACGGCAAAGGAGUUUAAGUUUUCUCCGUGGUUCAAGUUCAUGCGCUAACUGGAGAUAACGAAGAAGAAGAAGAAGCGCGACGCACCGAGAGCCGAUCUACCACCACGCACUUUUUCCUCUUUUCCCUCCCUCUUUCUCUUUCUACUUCGACCAACCAAGUUUCGUCGAGUUUCGACGAAUGCUCGCCAGAAGGAAAAAAACGUAAGAGUGAAAAAAGGAAGAAAACGAUACUUUGUAGAUUCUUCGAAUGGCAAUAAAACGAGCGGAGCAAAGUCUUCCCGGUGCCCCGACUGUUUACACCUACCUACACCUAAUAAUUAUCACCACCGAGGAAUAACUCAGAGCGCGAACCACGCUUCACCGAGAACAGCCCAGUCACAGAUACCCGCAUACAGUCAACUCUUGUAUACAAGACGGAUUAACAAAACAGGAAUUUCAACAAAGAGCAUCGCUUUUCGAAAAUACUCUUCCUUCUUCAUUUCUCCUUCCCUCAAACUCAUCCUCCCUCCCGCUCUCUCUCUCUCUCUCUCUCUCUCUUCCUAAGGGAGAAAUAUGAAAAUCCACUCACCCUAUCUUCGUGAUGAGCUUUCCGUGAACGUGAAGAUACGACGUUAUGAAGCGUUUGUUUACCUGUGAAAAUAGAGGCAAAUUUUCAGAAUAUAUUCCACUGUAAAUAUUAGCAUAGGAAGUCUCGCAAAAAGAGUUAUAACAUUUUUUCUCGACACUUCCGUACUGAGACGUGAAAUUUUAUCAAGAGUCGUAAUAGCGGCUCGAAGCCAAAUAUUAAAAACAGUAGUAACACGAUUUAUUGAGAAACUGCUGCUUUUAAACCGGAAGAAUUUCGAAAGCCACCGUAAGAAGAUGAAAAAUGUAAUUAAUGAAAAAUAAAGUCUCCUCAUUCAUACACUGAA
This is a long non-coding RNA of Venturia canescens, 1562 nucleotides long. RefSeq lists it as uncharacterized. The transcript has 2 exons. Lineage: Eukaryota; Metazoa; Arthropoda; Insecta; Hymenoptera; Ichneumonidae. The record is from RefSeq and is a predicted model, not a curated record.